This 429-nucleotide ribosomal RNA is filed under the name Verrucomicrobiota bacterium. Its description in RNAcentral is "Verrucomicrobia bacterium partial 16S ribosomal RNA". It matches the Rfam family "Bacterial small subunit ribosomal RNA", at positions 355 to 776 of the family's 1533-position model. Lineage: Bacteria; Pseudomonadati; Verrucomicrobiota. The record is from RNAcentral.
CAGGGAAUCUUCGGCAAUGGGGGGAACCCUGACCGAGCAACGCCGCGUGAGUGAAGAAGGUUUUCGGAUCGUAAAGCUCUGUUGUUAAGGAAGAACGAGUGUGAGAAUGGAAAGUUCAUGCUGUGACGGUACUUAACCAGAAAGGGACGGCUAACUACGUGCCAGCAGCCGCGGUAAUACGUAGGUCCCGAGCGUUGUCCGGAUUUAUUGGGCGUAAAGCGAGCGCAGGCGGUUAGAAAAGUCUGAAGUGAAAGGCAGUGGCUCAACCAUUGUAGGCUUUGGAAACUGUUUAACUUGAGUGCAGAAGGGGAGAGUGGAAUUCCAUGUGUAGCGGUGAAAUGCGUAGAUAUUUGGAGGAACACCGGUGGCGAAAGCGGCUCUCUGGUCUGUAACUGACGCUGAGGCUCGAAAGCGUGGGGAGCGAACAGG